RNAcentral lists this long non-coding RNA (824 nucleotides) under Bos taurus (domestic cattle). RNAcentral's name for it is "long non-coding RNA NONBTAT017651". The record is from RNAcentral. Lineage: Eukaryota; Metazoa; Chordata; Mammalia; Artiodactyla; Bovidae.
GACUCUGUGCGACCCCAUAGACGGCAGCCCACCAGGCUCCCCCAUCCCUGGGAUUCUCCAGGCAAGAACACUGGAGUGGGUUGCCAUUUCCUCCUCCAGUGCGUGAAAGUGAAGUCGCUCAGUUGUGUCUGACUCUAGCGACCCCAUGGACUGCAGCCUACCAGGCUCCUCCGUUCAUGGGAUUUUCCAGGCAAGAGUACUGCAGUGGGGUGCCAUUGCCUUCUCCGUUCUCCUUCAUAGGUCCUGACUAAAAUACUGGAGCAUCAACUGGGAUUGGAAAAAAAUGGGAAAUAUGAGGGAAGAUCGUAUUUGCUAAAGAAAUGACUUUUUCUCCAGAUGGCGGCAGAAAGUCAGAGAAGAACAUGAAGAGAAAUAUAAUCUCCUAAGGGAAUAUCAAGGAAAUGACCUCUAUUGACAUUUCAAAAGCAGAAGUUGUACAUGUAGAAGUAUAAACACAGAAAAGCACAAAAAAAAAAAAAAAAAAAAAUUUUCCCCUGUCGGUCUCUCUCCCCAGAGGGGAGAAGACUCUGGAGGUACUUACGCCACUGGAAGGACCACUGUCCUUGGUGACUUUUGGAGGAUGACACUGACAAAACAUUACCAUCAUCGUCACAUUGCGAGGUUGUUUCUGCAACAGGGUCUACCAGCACAAUUGGAAAAGGACUUUAAAAAGCUUUAGGUCUCAUCAGCUCACGAAUUCUACAAUUCUUACAUCUUAGUCAGUUCCGUAUCUGUCUCCUUGUCAAUACAAGGCUCUUCUAUCUGGUUCCCAGUACUGUGUUUUGUCUGCCUAAAACAUUUAAUAGAACCACUUUUUGACAUGA